GACGAUGCUGCGCUGAAGAGCGGCGAACGGGUGAGUAACACGUAGGUAACCUACCUUAUAGUCUGGGAUAACAACUGGAAACAGUUGCUAAUACCGGAUACGAAAUCAAACCGGCAUCGGAAUGAUUUGAAAGGAGCUUUACAGCUUCGCUAUUAGAUGGACCUGCGGUGCAUUAGCUAGUUGGUGAGAUAACAGCCCACCAAGGCGAUGAUGCAUAGCCGACCUGAGAGGGUGACCGGCCACACUGGGACUGAGAUACGGCCCAGACUCCUACGGGAGGCAGCAGUAGGGAAUUUUCCACAAUGGACGAAAGUCUGAUGGAGCGACGCCGCGUGCACGAAGAAGGUCUUCGGAUUGUAAAGUGCUGUUGUAAGGGAAGAAUAAGUGGGAGAGGAAAUGUUCCCAUGAUGACGGCACCUUACCAGAAAGCCACGGCUAACUAUGUGCCAGCAGCCGCGGUAAUACAUAGGUGGCAAGCGUUGUCCGGAAUUAUUGGGCGUAAAGGGCGUGUAGGCGGAUAUGAAAGUCUGAUGUGAAAUCUCAUAGCUUAACUAUGAACGUGCAUUGGAAACUAUGUAUCUAGAGUGUCGGAGAGGAAAGCGGAAUUCCAUGUGUAGCGGUGAAAUGCGUAGAGAUAUGGAGGAACACCAGUGGCGAAGGCGGCUUUCUGGACGACUACUGACGCUGAGACGCGAAAGCGUGGGGAGCAAACAGGAUUAGAUACCCUGGUAGUCCACGCCGUAAACGAUGAGUGCUAAGUGUUGGAGGCGCAGGUAUUCAAGUGCAAGAAGGUUAACGCCAAUAAGCACUCCGCUUGGGGAGUACGGUCGCAAGGCUGAAUACUCUAAGGAAUUGACGGGGACCCGCUCAAGCGGGAGGAGUAUGUGGUUUAAUUAGAUGCAACGCGAAGAACCUUUCCAACUCUUGACAUACUAAUGAUGUCUUAAGAGAUUAAGAGUUCCCUUUGGGGACAUUGGAUACAGGUGGUGCAUGGUUGUCGUCAGCUCUUGUCGUGAGAUGUUGGGUUAAGUCCCGUAACGAGCGCAACCCCUAUUGUUAGUUACCAUCAUUAAGUUGGGGACUCUUACGAUACAGCUAGUGUAAGUUAGAGGAAGGUGGGGAUGACGUCAAAUCAUCAUGCCCCUUAUGAGUUGGGCUACACACGUACUACAAUGGCAGGUACAACGGGGAAGCGAAGCCGCGAGGUGGAGCCAAUCCUAUAAAGCCUGUCUAAGUUCGGAUAGCAGUGUGCAACUCGACUGCUUGAAGGAGGAUUCGCUAGUAAUCGCAGAUCAGCAUGCUGCGGUGAAUACGUCCUCGGGUCUUGUACACACCGCCCGUCA
Molecule: ribosomal RNA, 1343 nt
Filed under: uncultured bacterium
Lineage: Bacteria
Description: bacterial SSU rRNA
Rfam family: Bacterial small subunit ribosomal RNA
Source: RNAcentral